This 1258-nucleotide ribosomal RNA is filed under the name Salmonella enterica. RNAcentral's name for it is "partial 23S ribosomal RNA". It matches the Rfam family "Bacterial large subunit ribosomal RNA", at positions 1 to 1190 of the family's 2925-position model. The record is from RNAcentral. Lineage: Bacteria; Pseudomonadati; Pseudomonadota; Gammaproteobacteria; Enterobacterales; Enterobacteriaceae.
GGGUUGUGAGGUUAAGCGACUAAGCGUACACGGUGGAUGCCCUGGCAGUCAGAGGCGAUGAAGGACGUGCUAAUCUGCGAUAAGCGCCGGUAAGGUGAUAUGAACCGUUAUAACCGGCGAUUUCCGAAUGGGGAAACCCAGUGUGACUCGUCACACUAUCAUUAACUGAAUCCAUAGGUUAAUGAGGCGAACCGGGGGAACUGAAACAUCUAAGUACCCCGAGGAAAAGAAAUCAACCGAGAUUCCCCCAGUAGCGGCGAGCGAACGGGGAUGAGCCCAGAGCCUGAAUCAGCAUGUGUGUUAGUGGAAGCGUCUGGAAAGGCGCGCGAUACAGGGUGACAGCCCCGUACACAAAAGCGCAUAUGCUGUGAGCUCGAUGAGUAGGGCGGGACACGUGGUAUCCUGUCUGAAUAUGGGGGGACCAUCCUCCAAGGCUAAAUACUCCUGACUGACCGAUAGUGAACCAGUACCGUGAGGGAAAGGCGAAAAGAACCCCGGCGAGGGGAGUGAAAAAGAACCUGAAACCGUGUACGUACAAGCAGUGGGAGCCCCACCACUAAGCCAGUGGUGAACUCCACAUACGCAUCCUUUGCUGAGGAUGCGGUUAACGGAGCGAAAGCGACGUUCAACCGCAAAAGAAGCAGAGGGGGCUUAGUGGUGGGGUGACUGCGUACCUUUUGUAUAAUGGGUCAGCGACUUAUAUUCUGUAGCAAGGUUAACCGAAUAGGGGAGCCGGAGGGAAACCGAGUCUUAAUUGGGCGUUAAGUUGCAGGGUAUAGACCCGAAACCCGGUGAUCUAGCCAUGGGCAGGUUGAAGGUUGGGUAACACUAACUGGAGGACCGAACCGACUAAUGUUGAAAAAUUAGCGGAUGACCUGUGGCUGGGGGUGAAAGGCCAAUCAAACCGGGAGAUAGCUGGUUCUCCCCGAAAGCUAUUUAGGUAGCGCCUCGUGAAUUCAUCUCCGGGGGUAGAGCACUGUUUCGGCUAGGGGGCCAUCCCGGCUUACCAACCCGAUGCAAACUGCGAAUACCGGAGAAUGUUAUCACGGGAGACACACGGCGGGUGCUAACGUCCGUCGUGAAGAGGGAAACAACCCAGACCGCCAGCUAAGGUCCCAAAGUCAUGGUUAAGUGGGAAACGAUGUGGGAAGGCCCAGACAGCCAGGAUGUUGGCUUAGAAGCAGCCAUCAUUUAAAGAAAGCGUAAUAGCUCACUGGUCGAGUCGGCCUGCGCGGAAGAUGUAACGGGGCUAAACCAU